Pongo abelii (Sumatran orangutan) is the source of this 117-nucleotide unclassified non-coding RNA. It matches the Rfam family "Metazoan signal recognition particle RNA". From Rfam's summary of the family: The signal recognition particle (SRP) is a universally conserved ribonucleoprotein. It is involved in the co-translational targeting of proteins to membranes. The eukaryotic SRP consists of a 300-nucleotide 7S RNA and six proteins: SRPs 72, 68, 54, 19, 14, and 9. NCBI's taxonomy places the organism in Eukaryota, Metazoa, Chordata, Mammalia, Primates, Hominidae. The record is from Ensembl.
GCUGGGUGUGGUGGCUCAUGCCUGUAAUCCCAGCACUUUGGGAGGCUGAGAUGGGAGGAUCACUUGAGGCCAGGAGUUUGAGACCAGCCUGGUCAAUAUAGUGAGACCCCAUCUCUA